Pan troglodytes (chimpanzee) is the source of this 2705-nucleotide long non-coding RNA. RefSeq lists it as uncharacterized. Lineage: Eukaryota; Metazoa; Chordata; Mammalia; Primates; Hominidae. The record is from RefSeq and is a predicted model, not a curated record. The transcript has 7 exons.
AUUGUGAUGCAAUUAGAGCUCAAAGCUCAGGCCUCCUCCCCUGAGACUAGUAAAGGCACAUUCAGGAUGCAGGCUCUUGAGCCCAGCUGUCAGAGCUGUCAGCCUGCCUAAGCAGGAAAAAAACGGUGUGAGUCGAGUCGACCUGGUAUUGGAAAAAAGGCUACCUGUGAAAACCUACUCUGUAACCCUGAAAGUCUCAGCCCAGGGCCCUUAGGGCUGUCUCGAUGGUCGAGUCCCUCUGGAGGAGGAGGAGUUUUGAGACUGUGAGGUGGUUGCAGGAAACUCCUCUUUGGACUCCCUUCCUGAAAGAGGCUGUGAAGAGGAAUCAGGUCCCAUCAGGAUUGGAAUAUUGUCCUGUGAAAUUGUGGAACCCCAUCCACCCAUCACCAGAUAGAAUCUUGACACCUAUCUGAUUUUAUUGCUGCUCACACUCUGUGUCUGAGCAUGAAAUCUUAAGAUGAUUGAGACGUGAACCCUCAUGAUGUGAAGCACCUGCUUGGCUGGAAACCAAAUUCGAGGUGAAGUUGUGGACCCUAUCCACUUCUCACCAGACUGUAUCUUCACCAUUAUCUGACCUUAUUGCUGGUAACACUGUAUAUCCCAGGAUGAAAUCCCAAUAUGGUGGAGGAGUUUCCCCUCACAACGUGAAGCACCUGCUCGGAUGGAAACCGAAUUCGAGGAUUUGGUUUCUUCCUGGGAGUUUGCUUGACAUUUCUUCAGAGUUGCUCAAGUCUACCACUUCUAAGAUCAUGGACUAUCCCAUAAAUCCUACAGAGAAGACAUGCGAGAGUCCGCCGCUGACACACCUCCAUGGAGGGCUCCUUCUUUGCCAAGCCCAAGGACAUGUCGCUAGGCAAUGGUAACAUUCUCUGUGACACUAACUAGAGCUCACAAUCAGGUCUGGUGCUCUGAGACUAGUGCAUGUACAUUCAUAAGGCAGGCUCAAUCAUCUGGCUCUCAGAGCUGUCAGCCUGCCUAACCAGAGCACAAUGGUACAGGCAGAGCCUGCCUGGUAUCAGGAAAAACGCUGCCUUCAAAAACCCACUGUGGGACCUUGAAAUUUUUGACAUCUGGGCUCUUUCGGGCCAUCUCUGUUGUCCAGUCCCACUGUAAGAGGAGAUGUUUUGAGACUGUGAGGUGGUCACUGGAAACUGCUCUUCUGACUUCAUUCUUGAAAAAGGUUGUGUGGAAGAACCGUGUCCCAUGGGGAUUUUAAUAUACUCUGGUGUGUUGUUCUCUUGGUGACAGAAUCAUGCCUGAGAUCCCAGAGGUGGGUGUCAGUGAAAGAUAGUGGGGCUCUUGACCUCACUGACUCCUUUCAUCAUGGACCUCACAGAAGCGGUCUCUGAGAAUCAGGAACUAUGACAAAGGCGAGUCCAAAAUGAAGCAGUGUUCUUGCACCUCAGACUGUCCUCUCAGGUGUGCAGAUGGGUUGAGACAGUGUCUCAGAGGUUGUCUGAGGAGAUGACAUGUCUAAAAAGAGUGUCCAGUAGUGCUCUUGAGGGGCACAGUGGAUUUCCCAUUAAAGCAAAGAAAAAUCAAGGCUUGCCUGAGAGAAUGAACUGUCUUGUCCUGGAGUCCAAGCAGUGUUCAAUGGCUACUGUCAUAGGAACCAAAAGGCUGCUGCAAAGUACAAACAAUCUCAGCCCCCAGAAAGACACAAUGACCCACAUUCUAGAGUGCAGCCAGCCUAUCUGAAGUCUUUUUUGCUUUCUCAAAUCCCUGCCAGCUAAAUAAUCUGUGGUGAGCAGCAGUCCUAUCCAGCAACAGCCCAGUGAAAGAGCCUUGCCACAAUGAGAAGACUACACAGGUAACAUGAAACAGGCUAGAUUACCAGACAAAAGCCUGACAUGGCUGCCUACUUCUCAAACUAUAAGAAUCAUGCAGCCCUCCAAUUGAAGUGGAAGAACAAGAGGUUCCUUUUUUGCAGCUGCAAUGGUAAUUUGUGAUUUUAAAAGUAUCAAAGCUGACCAGUCACUGAAAUCUGACAGUGUUUAGAAGAAAACAUGCAAGCCAUGGAUUUCCAUGAGGGUUUUUCAUCCAUGAACUUGGAAACAUUUGGUGUGGAAGUCUUUGAGCCAUACCUAGGAAACCCUAGGCUAAGGAAAAACAUGGAAUUCAGGAAAAUAAAAGAUGAAAUUGUGAUACCCCGUCCACACCUCGCCAGAUUGUAUCCUCAACCCAUCUGACCUUAUUGCUGCUCACCCACUAUGUCCCAGGAUGAAAUACAAAGACAAUUUAGGAGUGACCCCUCAUGACAUGAAGCACCUGCUUGGCUGGGAACUGAAUUCAAGGUGGAGUUGUUGGACCCCAUCCAUUUCCCACCUGAUUUUAUCCUCACCCCUAUGUGACCUUUUUGCUACACACACUUGAUGUUUCAGGAUGAAAUCUCAAGAUGAUAGAAGAGUGACUACUCAUGACAUGAACCACCUGCUUUGCUGGAAACUGAAUUCAAGGUGAAGAUGCGGGACCCCAUCCACCCCUCAUCAGACUGUAUCCUCACACAUACCUGUCCUCAUUGCUGCUCCAACUCUGUUUUCAAGAAUGACAUCCCAAGAUGAUGGAGGAGUGCCCCUUUACAACGUGAAGCAUCUGCUCUGCUGGGAACCAAAUUCAAGGAAAAUUCAAGUGGCCCUGCAAACAUGAACACUGUUGUCUCUCUCUGGGUUGACCACAGGACAAUGAAACACCUGGAGAUAUCUGUU